Molecule: long non-coding RNA, 622 nt
Filed under: Gallus gallus (chicken)
Lineage: Eukaryota; Metazoa; Chordata; Aves; Galliformes; Phasianidae
Description: long non-coding RNA NONGGAT001320
Source: RNAcentral
UCGACUCUGUGCCACUAAUAAUCACAGCCCUCUGAGCUCUGCCAGUCUGCCAGUUCUGAAUCCACCUCAGUGUCCACUCACCUUUCCCACACUUUCUAAGCUUUCUUACAAUAAGUUUGUGGGAGGCAAUGUCAAAGGACUUGCAGAAGUCGAAGUACACAACAUCCCUUGUUCGCGCCUCAUCUACCUAGCCAGUGAUGACAUCACAGAAGGCUACCAGGUUAUUCAAGCAUGAUUUCCCCAUGCUGAAGCUACGCUGACCACUCCUGAUACCCUCUUCUAAUUGCUUGGAGAUGACAUCCAGAACAAACUGUUUCAUCACCUUUCCAAGGACAGAGAUGUCUUAAUGAUUCGCUUUGUCAGUUCAGCGUGAAGACAUUUUUGUCUGGACAGCCUUGUGAGAAUGCUCCUUCAGCUUUUUUUAACCAUCAGAAUAGCAAGGAAGGACAGAGCCACCAGCCAAGGCUCCUGGGCAUCUGUAUGGAGUCACAUACAUGUGAAAUGAUAUCCCAAGCUAUCUGAAUUUGACCCAAGACUUCACGCCUGCUUGUUUAGAUGUGUGUCUGGAUAUCACUGCAGAAAUGAUAGCUGUAAGAAUACUCGGAGUUGUGCACAAAAGGCC